UUAAGCGACUAAGCGUACACGGUGGAUGCCCUGGCAGUCAGAGGCGAUGAAGGACGUGCUAAUCUGCGAUAAGCGUCGGUAAGGUGAUAUGAACCGUUAUAACCGGCGAUUUCCGAAUGGGGAAACCCAGUGUGUUUCGACACACUAUCAUUAACUGAAUCCAUAGGUUAAUGAGGCGAACCGGGGGAACUGAAACAUCUAAGUACCCCGAGGAAAAGAAAUCAACCGAGAUUCCCCCAGUAGCGGCGAGCGAACGGGGAGCAGCCCAGAGCCUGAAUCAGUGUGUGUGUUAGUGGAAGCGUCUGGAAAGGCGCGCGAUACAGGGUGACAGCCCCGUACACAAAAAUGCACAUGCUGUGAGCUCGAUGAGUAGGGCGGGACACGUGGUAUCCUGUCUGAAUAUGGGGGGACCAUCCUCCAAGGCUAAAUACUCCUGACUGACCGAUAGUGAACCAGUACCGUGAGGGAAAGGCGAAAAGAACCCCGGCGAGGGGAGUGAAAAAGAACCUGAAACCGUGUACGUACAAGCAGUGGGAGCACGCUUAGGCGUGUGACUGCGUACCUUUUGUAUAAUGGGUCAGCGACUUAUAUUCUGUAGCAAGGUUAACCGAAUAGGGGAGCCGAAGGGAAACCGAGUCUUAACUGGGCGUUAAGUUGCAGGGUAUAGACCCGAAACCCGGUGAUCUAGCCAUGGGCAGGUUGAAGGUUGGGUAACACUAACUGGAGGACCGAACCGACUAAUGUUGAAAAAUUAGCGGAUGACUUGUGGCUGGGGGUGAAAGGCCAAUCAAACCGGGAGAUAGCUGGUUCUCCCCGAAAGCUAUUUAGGUAGCGCCUCGUGAAUUCAUCUCCGGGGGUAGAGCACUGUUUCGGCAAGGGGGUCAUCCCGACUUACCAACCCGAUGCAAACUGCGAAUACCGGAGAAUGUUAUCACGGGAGACACACGGCGGGUGCUAACGUCCGUCGUGAAGAGGGAAACAACCCAGACCGCCAGCUAAGGUCCCAAAGUCAUGGUUAAGUGGGAAACGAUGUGGGAAGGCCCAGACAGCCAGGAUGUUGGCUUAGAAGCAGCCAUCAUUUAAAGAAAGCGUAAUAGCUCACUGGUCGAGUCGGCCUGCGCGGAAGAUGUAACGGGGCUAAACCAUGCACCGAAGCUGCGGCAGCGACGCUGAUGCGUUGUUGGGUAGGGGAGCGUUCUGUAAGCCUGCGAAGGUGUGCUGUGAGGCAUGCUGGAGGUAUCAGAAGUGCGAAUGCUGACAUAAGUAACGAUAAAGCGGGUGAAAAGCCCGCUCGCCGGAAGACCAAGGGUUCCUGUCCAACGUUAAUCGGGGCAGGGUGAGUCGACCCCUAAGGCGAGGCCGAAAGGCGUAGUCGAUGGGAAACAGGUUAAUAUUCCUGUACUUGGUGUUACUGCGAAGGGGGGACGGAGAAGGCUAUGUUGGCCGGGCGACGGUUGUCCCGGUUUAAGCGUGUAGGCUGGUUUUCCAGGCAAAUCCGGAAAAUCAAGGCUGAGGCGUGAUGACGAGGCACUACGGUGCUGAAGCAACAAAUGCCCUGCUUCCAGGAAAAGCCUCUAAGCAUCAGGUAACAUCAAAUCGUACCCCAAACCGACACAGGUGGUCAGGUAGAGAAUACCAAGGCGCUUGAGAGAACUCGGGUGAAGGAACUAGGCAAAAUGGUGCCGUAACUUCGGGAGAAGGCACGCUGAUAUGUAGGUGAAGCGACUUGCUCGUGGAGCUGAAAUCAGUCGAAGAUACCAGCUGGCUGCAACUGUUUAUUAAAAACACAGCACUGUGCAAACACGAAAGUGGACGUAUACGGUGUGACGCCUGCCCGGUGCCGGAAGGUUAAUUGAUGGGGUCAGCGCAAGCGAAGCUCUUGAUCGAAGCCCCGGUAAACGGCGGCCGUAACUAUAACGGUCCUAAGGUAGCGAAAUUCCUUGUCGGGUAAGUUCCGACCUGCACGAAUGGCGUAAUGAUGGCCAGGCUGUCUCCACCCGAGACUCAGUGAAAUUGAACUCGCUGUGAAGAUGCAGUGUACCCGCGGCAAGACGGAAAGACCCCGUGAACCUUUACUAUAGCUUGACACUGAACAUUGAGCCUUGAUGUGUAGGAUAGGUGGGAGGCUUGGAAGUGUGGACGCCAGUCUGCAUGGAGCCGACCUUGAAAUACCACCCUUUAAUGUUUGAUGUUCUAACGUUGACCCGUAAUCCGGGUUGCGGACAGUGUCUGGUGGGUAGUUUGACUGGGGCGGUCUCCUCCUAAAGAGUAACGGAGGAGCACGAAGGUUGGCUAAUCCUGGUCGGACAUCAGGAGGUUAGUGCAAUGGCAUAAGCCAGCUUGACUGCGAGCGUGACGGCGCGAGCAGGUGCGAAAGCAGGUCAUAGUGAUCCGGUGGUUCUGAAUGGAAGGGCCAUCGCUCAACGGAUAAAAGGUACUCCGGGGAUAACAGGCUGAUACCGCCCAAGAGUUCAUAUCGACGGCGGUGUUUGGCACCUCGAUGUCGGCUCAUCACAUCCUGGGGCUGAAGUAGGUCCCAAGGGUAUGGCUGUUCGCCAUUUAAAGUGGUACGCGAGCUGGGUUUAGAACGUCGUGAGACAGUUCGGUCCCUAUCUGCCGUGGGCGCUGGAGAACUGAGGGGGGCUGCUCCUAGUACGAGAGGACCGGAGUGGACGCAUCACUGGUGUUCGGGUUGUCAUGCCAAUGGCACUGCCCGGUAGCUAAAUGCGGAAGAGAUAAGUGCUGAAAGCAUCUAAGCACGAAACUUGCCCCGAGAUGAGUUCUCCCUGACUCCUUGAGAGUCCUGAAGGAACGUUGAAGACGACGACGUUGAUAGGCCGGGUGUGUAAGCGCAGCGAUGCGUUGAGCUAACCGGUACUAAUGAACCGUGAGGCUUAACCUU
This 2902-nucleotide ribosomal RNA is filed under the name human gut metagenome. RNAcentral describes it as "bacterial LSU rRNA". It matches the Rfam family "Bacterial large subunit ribosomal RNA". The record is from RNAcentral.